This 495-nucleotide ribosomal RNA is filed under the name uncultured bacterium. Its description in RNAcentral is "partial 16S ribosomal RNA". It matches the Rfam family "Bacterial small subunit ribosomal RNA", at positions 28 to 505 of the family's 1533-position model. The record is from RNAcentral.
GACGAACGCUGGCGGCGUGCCUAAUACAUGCAAGUAGAACGCUGAAGAGAGGAGCUUGCUCUUCUUGGAUGAGUUGCGAACGGGUGAGUAACGCGUAGGUAACCUGCCUUGUAGCGGGGGAUAACUAUUGGAAACGAUAGCUAAUACCGCAUAACAAUGGAUGACACAUGUCAUUUAUUUGAAAGGGGCAAUUGCUCCACUACAAGAUGGACCUGCGUUGUAUUAGCUAGUAGGUGAGGUAAUGGCUCACCUAGGCGACGAUACAUAGCCGACCUGAGAGGGUGAUCGGCCACACUGGGACUGAGACACGGCCCAGACUCCUAAGGGAGGCAGCAGUAGGGAAUCUUCGGCAAUGGGGGCAACCCUGACCGAGCAACGCCGCGUGAGUGAAGAAGGUUUUCGGAUCGUAAAGCUCUGUUGUAAGUCAAGAACGGGUGUGAGAGUGGAAAGUUCACACUGUGACGGGAGCUUACCAGAAAGGGACGGCUAACUACG